CCAAUCGAACCCGGAGAUAGCUGGUUCUCCUCGAAAUAGCUUUAGGGCUAGCCUCUGGUUAGUCUGCCGCAGGUAGAGCACUGAAUUUCCUAGGGGGCGUCAAAGCCUACCGAAGAAUAUCAAACUGCGAAUGGCGUGGUGAUGAUUCACAGGAGUCAGACUGCACGAGAUAAGUUGGGUGGUCAAAAGGGAAAGAGCCCAGACCCACUGCUAAGGUCCCAAAGUGCGUGUUAAGUGGAAAAGGAUGUGGGAUUUCAAAGACAGCUAGGAUGUUGGCUCAGAAGCAGCCACGCAUUCAAAGAGUGCGUAAUAGCUCACUAGCCGAGAGGUCCCGCGCCGAAAAUGUCCGGGGCUGAAACACGACACCGAAGCAUGGGAAUCAUACACAAGUAUGGUUGGUAGAGGAGCAUUGAUGACGCGGCGAAGCGGUACCGGCAAGGAGCCGUGGAGUGUCAUGAAGAGAGAAUGCCGGAAUGAGUAGCGAGAUUAAAGUGAGAAUCUUUAAGGCCGAAUAUCCAAGGUUUCCGGGGUAAAGCUGAUCUGCCCCGGGUAAGUCGGGGCCUAAGGCGAGGCGGAGACGCGUAGCCGAUGGACAACAGGUUGAGAUUCCUGUACUGCAAUGGAUCAGAACUGUGGGGACACGGGAGGUAAAGGAAAGCCGGGAAAGGAAAGCCCGGUGAAAGCCGAGGAGGCGUAUGCGAGGCAAAACCCGCAUGCAAGCCAGAGCGGUGAGAGGAGCGAAACAAAAGUAGCGAAGUUCCGGAGCCUGCCGUCAAGAAAAGCCGCUAUAGUGUCCAUUGUACCCGUACCGUAAACCGACACAGGUAGAUGAGGAGAGAAUCCUAAGGCCGGCGGGAGAAGCAUUGUCAAGGAACUCGGCAAAAUGACCCCGUAACUUCGGGAGAAGGGGUGCCACAGCAAUGUGGCCGCAGAGAAUAGGCCCAAGCAACUGUUUAGCAAAAACACAGGUCUAUGCAAAACCGAAAGGUGAAGUAUAUGGGCUGACGCCUGCCCGGUGCUGGAAGGUUAAGGGGAGAUGUCAGGAAACGAAGCAUCGAACUUAAGCCCCAGUAAACGGCGGCCGUAACUAUAACGGUCCUAAGGUAGCGAAAUUCCUUGUC
This 1121-nucleotide ribosomal RNA is filed under the name human gut metagenome. Its description in RNAcentral is "bacterial LSU rRNA". It matches the Rfam family "Bacterial large subunit ribosomal RNA", at positions 829 to 1973 of the family's 2925-position model. The record is from RNAcentral.